GUCGAGCGGUAGCACAGAGAGCUUGCUCUCGGGUGACGAGCGGCGGACGGGUGAGUAAUGUCUGGGAAACUGCCUGAUGGAGGGGGAUAACUACUGGAAACGGUAGCUAAUACCGCAUAACGUCGCAAGACCAAAGUGGGGGACCUUCGGGCCUCAUGCCAUCAGAUGUGCCCAGAUGGGAUUAGCUAGUAGGUGGGGUAACGGCUCACCUAGGCGACGAUCCCUAGCUGGUCUGAGAGGAUGACCAGCCACACUGGAACUGAGACACGGUCCAGACUCCUACGGGAGGCAGCAGUGGGGAAUAUUGCACAAUGGGCGCAAGCCUGAUGCAGCCAUGCCGCGUGUGUGAAGAAGGCCUUCGGGUUGUAAAGCACUUUCAGCGGGGAGGAAGGCGAUAAGGUUAAUAACCUUGUCGAUUGACGUUACCCGCAGAAGAAGCACCGGCUAACUCCGUGCCAGCAGCCGCGGUAAUACGGAGGGUGCAAGCGUUAAUCGGAAUUACUGGGCGUAAAGCGCACGCAGGCGGUCUGUCAAGUCGGAUGUGAAAUCCCCGGGCUCAACCUGGGAACUGCAUUCGAAACUGGCAGGCUAGAGUCUUGUAGAGGGGGGUAGAAUUCCAGGUGUAGCGGUGAAAUGCGUAGAGAUCUGGAGGAAUACCGGUGGCGAAGGCGGCCCCCUGGACAAAGACUGACGCUCAGGUGCGAAAGCGUGGGGAGCAAACAGGAUUAGAUACCCUGGUAGUCCACGCCGUAAACGAUGUCGAUUUGGAGGUUGUGCCCUUGAGGCGUGGCUUCCGGAGCUAACGCGUUAAAUCGACCGCCUGGGGAGUACGGCCGCAAGGUUAAAACUCAAAUGAAUUGACGGGGGCCCGCACAAGCGGUGGAGCAUGUGGUUUAAUUCGAUGCAACGCGAAGAACCUUACCUGGUCUUGACAUCCACAGAACUUUCCAGAGAUGGAUUGGUGCCUUCGGGAACUGUGAGACAGGUGCUGCAUGGCUGUCGUCAGCUCGUGUUGUGAAAUGUUGGGUUAAGUCCCGCAACGAGCGCAACCCUUAUCCUUUGUUGCCAGCGGUUCGGCCGGGAACUCAAAGGAGACUGCCAGUGAUAAACUGGAGGAAGGUGGGGAUGACGUCAAGUCAUCAUGGCCCUUACGACCAGGGCUACACACGUGCUACAAUGGCAUAUACAAAGAGAAGCGACCUCGCGAGAGCAAGCGGACCUCAUAAAGUAUGUCGUAGUCCGGAUUGGAGUCUGCAACUCGACUCCAUGAAGUCGGAAUCGCUAGUAAUCGUAGAUCAGAAUGCUACGGUGAAUACGUUCCCGGGCCUUGUACACACCGCCCGUCACACCAUGGGAGUGGGUUGCAAAAGAAGUAGGUAG
Molecule: ribosomal RNA, 1380 nt
Filed under: Klebsiella sp. P058
Lineage: Bacteria; Pseudomonadati; Pseudomonadota; Gammaproteobacteria; Enterobacterales; Enterobacteriaceae
Description: bacterial SSU rRNA
Rfam family: Bacterial small subunit ribosomal RNA
Source: RNAcentral